RNAcentral lists this long non-coding RNA (877 nucleotides) under Pan troglodytes (chimpanzee). RNAcentral's name for it is "lincRNA". Lineage: Eukaryota; Metazoa; Chordata; Mammalia; Primates; Hominidae. The record is from RNAcentral.
CAAAGUGCUGGGAUUACAGGCAUGACCAAAUGUGCUCCUUUACCAAUUGUUUCUGUCUCAGGAAUUGGUUUCUUGUUGCACUGUGAUACACAUGAAGCCAUAUACCUUUUUCAGCUCAUUAUCCCCAGAAUGUAUUUGUACAUUAUUAACACAGAAUAGACACCUAAUAAAUAUUUCUAAAUUUUUAUUGUUCUUCCUUGCCACAAAACAGCAAUCACUUUUUUUUAGCAUGAUGUACAUGCCCUUCUAUCAUGUUGCCCUGAACUAUUUAUCAAAUCUUAUUUCUUCCCACUCCCCCAUUUGUUUCCCACGCUGUGGCUGUACAAAACUACUUAGAGCUCUGUCAACUCUCCAUGCUAUUUUAUAAUAAUCAACACUAAUGAAAAGAAAAGGGGCUUUAUAACAGAGGCAGAACUCAUUAUGUUCUAAAAAAUACACGCAUGUUUCCCAUGUUGAAUAGUGUCCCGCAGAAAGUCAUGUCCAGCUGGAACCCAGGAAUGUUAAACUAUUUGGAAACAGGGUCUCUGCAGAUAACACUUGGUUAAGACAAGGUCACAAUGCAUUAGGGUGGGCUGUAAAGCCAAUGGCUGUGUCCUUUCAGGAAGGUCGUGGGAACAUACAGAGACCUACAGGGAAGACGGCCAUGGGACAAGGGAGGCAGAGUCUGGAGUUACGCUGCCUACAGUCACGGAAUGCCAAGGACAGCUGGAAACCAUCAGAAGCUAAGAAGGAGAUUUUACCUGAAAGCCUCUCAAAGAAAUCAAUCAUACUCACACCUCCUUUUUGAAUUUCUGGCCUCGUGAAUGGUGAAAAAAUAAAUUUCUGUCAUCUUAAGCCCCACGGUUUGUAGUCAUUUGUUCUGUCAUCUUAAGCCCCA